RNAcentral lists this ribosomal RNA (253 nucleotides) under uncultured bacterium. Its description in RNAcentral is "partial 16S ribosomal RNA". It matches the Rfam family "Bacterial small subunit ribosomal RNA", at positions 524 to 776 of the family's 1533-position model. The record is from RNAcentral.
UACGUAGGGUGCGAGCGUUGCCCGGAUUUAUUGGGCGUAAAGGGCGCGUAGGUGGCCACGCACGUCCGUUGUGAAAUCGCCCGGCUCAACUGGGCGGGGUCGGCGGAUACGGCGUGGCUGGAGCAAGCUAGGGGGCAAUGGAAUUCCCGGUGUAGUGGUGGAAUGCGUAGAUAUCGGGAGGAACACCAGUGGCGAAGGCGGUUGCCUGGAGCUUUGCUGACGCUGAGGCGCGAAAGCGUGGGGAGCGAUCCGG